CUUCACCAUCCCGUCACCCUCAGCCUCUCAUCAUCCAACUCCAGAAGCUCUCAUCUCUCCUGCCUGGCUGCCUGAACCAAAGGGUCAUUGCAAGCUGGGAACCUGGGAUGGGUUGGCCGGACUGCUCGGUGGCGGCAAGGGCGGCUCCAGGAGGAAACAUUUAUCUGUGGAUGCAUGUGGAAAGGGAAGGCGGCCACUUCGAUUGGAGACCGAGGCUCCACGGGCGGAAGCUUAUCUUGUAGGCAUCACGCGGCCGCCGAUGGCAAGCGGCGCGACGCGAGCAGCUCGGUGGCUUACUCCCGACGCUAGCGGGUCGGUGAGCAGGGGAAGCAGAUGCACGCGGGGAUUAAUUUUUGACGCCAUCUCUGCUUCCUCGGUGCGUGCCGUAGCAGAUCGGCCGGCGGUGUCAUCUGGAGAAGACGGUGCGCACAAUGCGCGUCGAGCCGUCUUCUUGUUAUCGGAGCACGGACGGCAGACGACGGCUCGCUUCUCUUUCCUCACUAAUUGCUGUAUACGUCGGAUGAAUCUGUAUAUGUGGCAGUAAAAAGACGGCCGCCGUAAGUGCCAUCUGAUGAGACAACGUAAGAAGGGAGAUGGAUCGGAUUAGUAAUGAUGUAGUACACAUUUAUAGCCAUAUUAUAUGAGUGGGCUAUUACCUGGAUUGGCUCAAGAUGAUAUGGCAAUAGCAUAUACCCAGCAAUCGACUAAAUUAUUAGCCUGGCUCUAAAAAAAGACA
Long non-coding RNA from Setaria italica (foxtail millet), 736 nucleotides. RefSeq lists it as uncharacterized. The transcript is spliced from 2 exons. The record is from RefSeq and is a predicted model, not a curated record. NCBI's taxonomy places the organism in Eukaryota, Viridiplantae, Streptophyta, Magnoliopsida, Poales, Poaceae.